Globicephala melas (long-finned pilot whale) is the source of this 313-nucleotide long non-coding RNA. RefSeq lists it as uncharacterized. The record is from RefSeq and is a predicted model, not a curated record. Lineage: Eukaryota; Metazoa; Chordata; Mammalia; Artiodactyla; Delphinidae.
AGUGCUCACACCAGAGGGGAAAGUGGCUGAAAGUGCAUGGAAACAGGGUUCCUGGGGAGAGUGGGCUGUUUGGAGGGAUCUACACAGAGGCCACAAAGCAACACCAACGUGGAGACAUCUGAGUGAGUGGCUACAAGAAAUCGAAAAAGAAGGGGCAGAAACGGUCUACACCACAGCCAUCUCCAACUCAUUCUUGGGACGCUCAACUCACCUGCUCGCCCAGAGGAAGCUGGUUUGAAGAAUGAAAAAUAAACAGUGGGCAGGGGAAGGCUGCGUCCGUCUGGAGGGGGACAGGCCUGGAGGCUGGCACACA